RNAcentral lists this long non-coding RNA (1590 nucleotides) under Felis catus (domestic cat). RNAcentral's name for it is "lncRNA (ENSFCAG00000049179.1)". The record is from RNAcentral. Lineage: Eukaryota; Metazoa; Chordata; Mammalia; Carnivora; Felidae.
AGCAGGCGAGCCUGCGAGGUCGCCCCUGAAAUAUUCAUAAGGCGUGUUACCCGACCUCCGCUCGGAGGUGGGGCAGGCGCAGCCCGCAGCCGUACCCGCACUUGGGGGAAAGGCACUCACGACCGCACACGCCACCGCCACGCUCCCCGGUUCCACCUGCCUAGGAAGGAGCGAUGCUCUCCUAAGGACUUUCCCGGCAGUUGCAGGAGGUGCGGCGCUCCGGCCCCUCCGGCGGCCCCUCCGGGACGGGGGCGAGGCCGACCCGCUGCCCGCGGCCCCCGCACGGCCCCGGGGGAGCCCCAGGACCCCGUGUCUGCCGCUCGCGGGGCCCAGGCCGCCCUCGGCGUCCCCCCUCCCAUUCCGGCCUCCGCCGGGGAUGCUUCCUCCAGAGCCCUCGCUCGGUCGCUAGGUGACCCGCGCCUGGGCCGAAACGCAAACGGCCUCCCGCGCGGCCCCGCGCCCCGCCCCCCGGGUGCUGGUUCGGGGGGGCAGCUUGCGGGGAAGGAUCUCGGUCCCGAAGCCCCCGCACCGAGGCCGGGCGUGCUCCCCUUCCCAGCCCCUCUCUGGCCACGAGCCUACCUCGCCGCUGCGCCCCGCACGGUGCCGCGUCCCCGUCACCACGUCCCUCCUCCCCAAGGGCGUUCGCCCCUCGCGCCCCUGCCUCUCCGGGGUCGGCCCCCGGCGCGGCGACUCACCGGGCUCCCGGCGGCGGCGGCGGCGGCGGCGGCGGCUGCGGCGGCUGCGGGACGCUCAGCAGGUCCGAGCGCGCGGCAGCCGGGUCUCCAUCCCCGCCCUCGGCGGCGGCGCUCCACGCGCUCCGUCCGUCCCCCCGCGCCGCGGCUGCACCGGGAGGCCGCGGCUGCCGCACUGGCUGCGGGCGGGCGCGGGCGGGGCGGGGGCGGGCCCGGAAUCUGGGUCGCGGGGAGCGGAGCCCGCCGGGAGGCGCCCGGGCGGCCGGCGGCGGGGAGGCGACCGAGAGCCGCCCGCGGAGGGCGCGCGGAGGUUUCCCGGGGACCGCGACGCGGACGGCGACUGAGCAUGCCCAGUCCCCGGGCGGGGGCGCGGGCGCGGGGGGCGGGGGCGUGGCGGGGGCGCGGUAGGGGCGCGGCGGGGAGCGGAGGGAGGGGGGCGGCUCUGGGGGCGGGGGAGCAGGGCGGCCGCGCGGGCCCAGGUCAGUGGCACGGGGCCCAUCCGCGGGAGGCGCGCGGACCCGUGGACCUGUCGGAGCGAGAUGCGCUCCCCGCUCCCUUCCCAGAGAAUUGUCCAGAAGUCAAAGUUUGCUGUCAGUUCAGCUGCGGCCCCGCGGCCUCUCCCAGGGAUUCCCGCAGUCCAGACGCCCACCCCACCUGCCUUCCUGUGCCUGGGGGCGGGGGGGGGGAGGGGGGAGGGCAGCGUCGCCUUUCCCAACUCCUGGACCGGUCGGGUCAAGUUCUCCCAGGGCCAGCUCUUUCAUUAGGUGUAAUGGAGAGAUCGAGUCCGUCCUCCCGGGUCACAUAUCUGCAUUUCAACCAGGGCUUCGGAAACACUAGCCUCACCCCGGGGUUAAUUGUUCUGGAGGGAUGGUCCACCUCGUGGUCUGGGACUCUUUGA